AGUGGGGAAUUUUCCGCAAUGGGCGCAAGCCUGACGGAGCAAUACCGCGUGAGGGAGGAAGGCUCUUGGGUUGUAAACCUCAAAAAUUAGGGAAGAAGAAAGUGACGGUACCUAAUGUAAGCAUCGGCUAACUCCGUGCCAGCAGCCGCGGUAAUACGGAGGAUGCAAGCGUUAUCCGGAAUCAUUGAGCGUAAAGAGUCCGUAGGCGGCUAGUCAAGUCUGCUGUCAAAGACCGAAGCUUAACUUCGGAGAGGCGGUGGAAACUGAAAAGCUAGAGUACAGAAGGGGUAGAGGGAAUUCCCAGUGUAGCGGUGAAAUGCGUAGAGAUUGGGAAGAACACCAGUGGCGAAGGCGCUCUACUGGGCUUGUACUGACGCUGAGGGACGAAAGCUAGGGUAGCGAAAGGGAUUAGAUACCCCUGUAGUCUUAGCAGUAAACGAUGGAUACUAGGUGUAGCUCGUAUCGACCCGAGCUGUGCCGAAGCUAACGCGUUAAGUAUCCCGCCUGGGGAGUACGCACGCAAGUGUGAAACUCAAAGGAAUUGACGGGGACCCGCACAAGCGGUGGAGUAUGUGGUUUAAUUCGAUGCAACGCGAAGAACCUUACCAAGGCUUGACAUCCGCUGAAUCUCCUUGAGAGAGGAGAGUGCCUUCGGGAACAGCAUGACAGGUGGUGCAUGGCUGUCGUCAGCUCGUGUCGUGAGAUGUUGGGUUAAGUCCCGCAACGAGCGCAACCCUCGUUCCUAGUUGCCAGCAUUAAGUUGGGGACUCUAGGGAGACCGCCGGGGAGAACUCGGAGGAAGGUGAGGAUGACGUCAAGUCAGCAUGCCCCUCACGCCUUGGGCUACACACGUACUACAAUGGUGAGGACAAAGAGAAGCGAAAUCGAAAGGUGAAGCGAAUCUCGGCAAACUUGGCCUCAGUUCAGAUUGGGGGCUGAAACUCGCCCCCAUGAAGGAGGAAUCGCUAGUAAUCGCAGGUCAGCAUACUGCGGUGAAUCCGUUCCCGGGUCUUGUACACACCGCCCGUCACACCAUGGAAGUUGGUCAUGCCCGAAGUCGUUACCCUAACCGCAAGGAGGGGGAUGCCGAAGGUGGGACUAGUGACUGGGGUGAAGUCGUAACAAGGUAGCCGUACCGGAAGGUGUGGCUG
RNAcentral lists this ribosomal RNA (1151 nucleotides) under metagenome. Its description in RNAcentral is "bacterial SSU rRNA". It matches the Rfam family "Bacterial small subunit ribosomal RNA", at positions 353 to 1520 of the family's 1533-position model. The record is from RNAcentral.